AUUGAACGCUGGCGGCAGGCCUAACACAUGCAAGUCGAGCGGAGCGGCGGACGGGUGAGUAAUGCCUAGGAAUCUGCCUGGUAGUGGGGGAUAACGUCCGGAAACGGGCGCUAAUACCGCAUACUAUCAGAUGAGCCUAGGUCGGAUUAGCUAGUUGGUGGGGUAAAGGCCUACCAAGGCGACGAUCCGUAACUGGUCGGAGAGGAUGAUCAGUCACACUGGAACUGAGACACGGUCCAGAGUCCUACGGGAGGCAGCAGUGGGGAAUAUUGGACAAUGGGCGAAAGCCUGAUCCAGCCAUGCCGCGUGUGUGAAGAAGGCCUUCGGGUUGUAAAGUACUUUCAGCGGGGAGGCGUUACCAGCAGAAGAAGCACCGGCUAACUCCGUGCCAGCAGCCGCGGUAAUUC
This 407-nucleotide ribosomal RNA is filed under the name uncultured bacterium. RNAcentral describes it as "partial 16S ribosomal RNA". It matches the Rfam family "Bacterial small subunit ribosomal RNA", at positions 30 to 526 of the family's 1533-position model. The record is from RNAcentral.